This is a long non-coding RNA of Lytechinus variegatus (green sea urchin), 1451 nucleotides long. RefSeq lists it as uncharacterized. The record is from RefSeq and is a predicted model, not a curated record. The transcript is spliced from 2 exons. Lineage: Eukaryota; Metazoa; Echinodermata; Echinoidea; Temnopleuroida; Toxopneustidae.
UUCGGGGGGGGCAACAUUUAUUUGUCAGGGUUCAAACUUCUCAAUUGUUUUUUGGAAGGGUUGAGAAAAUUUAUAGUGCCCUAUUUUGAAUUCUUUAAGUAUAAGGCUAAGCAGAGAGAGUGGCUGAUCCAAUUGAUUUAUCUUUAUUGUCCUCACUUGAUGUGAAAGGGAAAGGGUCAUUUAAACAUGCCAGCAAGUGAGCUAACCCUUUUUAAGAUAAAAAUCAAACUUAAAGAGGAACUCACUUGACAUAGAGAUUCAAAUCAGACAUGUUUAUAGAUGAGUGCAAAAAAUUUAAUGAUUGUCUCGCACUGAUGAAUGAGCAAGAGCCAUAUUAUCACACAAAUGAUAAUUAUCCUACAUCUGUCCAAGUUGGCUUGGUGUAUAUUUAUAUUGAAGAUUGACAAAAGACCUCACUAUAGUAGGCCACGUAUGCUUGAACCAUUUAGUUUUUGGUCAAGACCUGCUUUUUUUCUACUUGGGAAGUGUGAAAGCUGGAAACUCUGAAAAAAUUGUUUUAAGAGAGGAAUUUUGUUUAUCACUUUUGAAAUUUUUAACUGUAAAGUAUUGUAUGUAUAUUGAAUUGCAGAUCCAAUGGGAUCCAGUUCUUAGCAGUCCCAGCCUAGUCAGAAGUACAAAGUCAAAUACCAUUUGCACAUCACCAAGAGGUACAAUCUGAUGAGUAACAGGAUAUCUAAAAGCUUGCCAGGUUUCACAGGCAGUUUGAGUAUCACCAGGGCACAUCAAGAAGAAAUAUGAAGGCCAGGUUCAUAACAAGCAGUUACUUCAUUGCAAUUACAGAUUUUAAAAAAAUGAAUGAAUUUAAAUAAAUGUGUCAAUACGUAUUGUAUGUUGCUUAAACUACACAUCUGUUGAAAAAAAGGAUUAGAUGGAGUAUAGAUAUUUAGGUCCAUAGGUUUCACACAAGAUUAAAAUAUUUUUCCAAAGGGCACACUUAUCCCCCCCCCCUUUAUUAAUGUUCUAAUCAUCUACAUGUAGUACUUAUAGUAGUGAAAGCACUUUGAAUAAUAUUAGUAGUUUGAAAGGGAUAGGUUGUAUUCUUGUAAUCUAAACAAUGCAGUAUGGGCCUUUACUGAGGUCUGGGCUAUGUAACAUACAUGCCUACAGACAUAUAAAAGGUGAUAAAAAAUAAUGGAUUUUCAUUGAAAAAAAUGUGCGUAAUAAAAACAAUGUGACAGAACAAAGGGCGAAGAAAUCACUCUCAGUCCUGGACCCCAAUUCAUUAAGACUAACCACUAUUCUAACUUUGAAAUUCUGGUAAUUACUAUGGAAACAUUAAAGCAACAGAUAAAAAUUGGGGUUCCCAUGCUAGUUACAUUUGGGGCCAAUUUACCAUAAUUGAAGUCCUUUUGAAACAAGAAACUGUAUGUAUUGCUGGACAUUAAGCUGUUGAAUUCAUUUUCUGGGGGAAGUGAAAAGUUGCACUUUUU